GGCGCUGUGGCUCAAUAGGUAGAGCGCUAGCCUUGAGCUAAAGAGCUGAGGGACAGCGCCC
RNAcentral lists this transfer RNA (61 nucleotides) under Dipodomys ordii (Ord's kangaroo rat). Lineage: Eukaryota; Metazoa; Chordata; Mammalia; Rodentia; Heteromyidae. The record is from Rfam by way of RNAcentral.